UACGUAGGCAGCGAGCGUUGUUCGGAGUUACUGGGCGUAAAGAGUGCGUAGGCGGUUUUCUAAGUUUGGUGUGAAAUCUCCCGGCUUAACUGGGAGGGUGCGCCGAAGACUGGAAGGCUUGAGUAUGGGAGAGGUAAGCGGAAUUCCUGGUGUAGCGGUGAAAUGCGUAGAUAUCAUCAGGAAUACCGGAGGCGAAGGCGGCUCACUGGGGGUCUUCUGACGCUGAGGAACGAAAGCCAGGGGAGCGAACGGG
RNAcentral lists this ribosomal RNA (253 nucleotides) under uncultured bacterium. RNAcentral's name for it is "partial 16S ribosomal RNA". It matches the Rfam family "Bacterial small subunit ribosomal RNA", at positions 524 to 776 of the family's 1533-position model. The record is from RNAcentral.